Danio rerio (zebrafish) is the source of this 118-nucleotide ribosomal RNA. The record is from Ensembl. Lineage: Eukaryota; Metazoa; Chordata; Actinopteri; Cypriniformes; Danionidae.
GGCAUCAGCCAUGUCACCCUGCAGCCCAAAGACUGGUUACUCACUGAAGCUAAGCGGGUCUGAGACUGGUCAGUAUCUGGAUGGGAGACCACAUGGGAAAACUAUGUUGCUGUUGGAA